Molecule: long non-coding RNA, 472 nt
Filed under: Mytilus galloprovincialis (Mediterranean mussel)
Lineage: Eukaryota; Metazoa; Mollusca; Bivalvia; Mytilida; Mytilidae
Source: RNAcentral
CUUGUGUGCCUAAAUGUAUUACUGAAUAUUCAUGAUGCUGUAGUAUCUACACAUUCUGUGAAUAUGGUUAUAACCUUGGAUGUAAUAUCAAUUCAACAUACAUAUGUCCGUCGACCUAGCAACCUUCUAAACAAGUGCCAAAUAACUAAUGAGGUUCUUGACUUGUACUAUUUUGCUUGUCAUGCAUCUAAGAUAAUGCUUGUUAUUCGCUAGCUUCUUUAUGUGUUUUCUUCUUACUUUAUUUUCCUAUAUCAAUGAAUCAUUUGACCUUUAUAUAAUCUUUUACUUGGAACUAUCUUAAUUACCUAUAAACCUAUAUUUUUGUUUAAAUAAGAUCUAUUUUAUUUCAAUUUCUAAUUAUUUCUAAAAGUGUCCUAAAUCCUUUCAUAACAUUACCCCCUUGUUAAGUUUGAAAUCUCCUGAUUUCAUUUUUUUUUUGCAAAUUGUUUUGAAUAUAACUUUAAUCUUUGAA